This 301-nucleotide ribosomal RNA is filed under the name uncultured bacterium. RNAcentral describes it as "partial 16S ribosomal RNA". It matches the Rfam family "Bacterial small subunit ribosomal RNA", at positions 509 to 807 of the family's 1533-position model. The record is from RNAcentral.
CAGUAGCCGCGGUAAUACGAAGGGUGCAAGCGUUAAUCGGAAUGACUGGGCGUAAAGGGCGCGUAGGCGGCGAUCAAAGUCAGGCGUGAAAUUCCUGGGCUCAACCUGGGGGCUGCGCUUGAUACUUGGUUGCUUGAGUGGGGAAGAGGGUCGUGGAAUUCCCAGUGUAGAGGUGAAAUUCGUAGAUAUUGGGAAGAACACCGGUGGCGAAGGCGGCGACCUGGUCCUUGACUGACGCUGAGGCGCGAAAGCGUGGGGAGCAAACAGGAUUAGAUACCCCCGUAGUCCCUGUCUCUUAUAC